This 491-nucleotide ribosomal RNA is filed under the name uncultured bacterium. Its description in RNAcentral is "partial 16S ribosomal RNA". It matches the Rfam family "Bacterial small subunit ribosomal RNA", at positions 29 to 507 of the family's 1533-position model. The record is from RNAcentral.
AGUGAACGCUGGCGGUAGGCCUACACAUGCAAGUCGAACGGCAGCACAGUAAGAGCUUGCUCUUACGGGUGGCGAGUGGCGGACGGGUGAGGAAUACAUCGGAAUCUACUUUUUCGUGGGGGAUAACGUAGGGAAACUUUCGCUAAUACCGCAUACGACCUACGGGUGAAAGCAGGGGAUCUUCGGACCUUGCGCGAUUGAAUGAGCCGAUGUCGGAUUAGCUAGUUGGCGGGGUAAAGGCCCACCAAGGCGACGAUCCGUAGCUGGUCUGAGAGGAUGAUCAGCCACACUGGAACUGAGACACGGUCCAGACUCCUACGGGAGGCAGCAGUGGGGAAUAUUGGACAAUGGGCGCAAGCCUGAUCCAGCCAUACCGCGUGGGUGAAGAAGGCCUUCGGGUUGUAAAGCCCUUUUGUUGGGAAAGAAAAGCAGCAGGUUAAUACCCCGCUGUUCUGACGGUACCCAAAGAAUAAGCACCGGCUAACUUCGUG